Long non-coding RNA from Scomber japonicus (chub mackerel), 3304 nucleotides. RefSeq lists it as uncharacterized. The transcript is spliced from 3 exons. Lineage: Eukaryota; Metazoa; Chordata; Actinopteri; Scombriformes; Scombridae. The record is from RefSeq and is a predicted model, not a curated record.
GUGCGUCAGUGCAUCAUUGUAAACCAGCUGUUGUGUUCAAGGACGUAAGAGACUGAAGCCAGGUUCAACCUGUACUAAGAGAGGUGAUGUACUUGCUGUACAGGUCACUAAACUUUAAUGGGUUACACAAAAACAGACAAACAGAAACAUAACCUCAAAUUUCAGUCUCCAGUUUAGAGAAUCACAAUUAGAAAACUCCCACAGACACAGGAGGAAAAUAUAAACUCCCCAAAGAAAAGCCUCACCGGUUCUCCUUGUGAUGAGGAUGACUGGAUUAACCUGCUAUGGAAGCCUGGGGCAGAUGUAAACUACUGGGCCCCUAAGCCUUUGUUCUCCCAGCUUUCUGCAAUCUCUACAAUUUCUGUAUACUUCUGGUCUCUGAUUUGCAGCAGUUCUUGUCAACGAAGGGUGUGAGAAUUCACAGCGACUAAAGUAAAAGAAGACGAGACAGGUCGAAGGUAAGUGGAACAUCACAUUAAAUAUUGAUGGACGGCAGUGUUGUGUUUUUCUCCUUUUUAAAGGCUCAGCCGAUGGUUUUCAUAUCAGGAUGUCAUUCUUAGUCAUUAUUUACACGUAGAAACAGAAUAUUUGACAUAUACAUUCUUCCCCUCUGAGAAGAGAUGUUUUCAUCACGUAGCAUUGCUCCCAGCUUCCAGGUGGCUGUUAGAUAACAUGUCCCUGCAUGCAUGUAUGUGUUUUUUUUUACUCCGCUCUGCAAGGCGAUAAGUCAUGUCAGGUUCUGAAUAUUCCAAAGUUGUUUGGGGGCUGCAGAUUGGAGGGAAGCUCUUACCUUCUGUUGACUCAGUCAGUGUUGGAAAGAGACAUGACGCACUGAAACUUGACUCCUUGCUCUUAGCUUGGAGAGCCUGGACUAUAUAAAGACGAAACUGUUUCUGUAAGGUACAUUUGAACCCUCUUAACCUCUGAACUAACGCGCACACACACACACACACACACACACACACCACUACACACGUGCACACCAACUUAUCAUUUAUUUGCUUAGUCAGUUCCCCUAUCAACUGACUUAUCUGUCCAAACCUCGCCACUCUUUUUUCUAAAGAAUGCACUCUUGAGCAUCCUCAUCGGCCUGUUAGCAUUCAUCCGGUGCAUCUGACAAGAAUGGCCACUCUGUUUCUCUCCAAUCAAUCAGAGGGCCCCCUGAAAAACCGCAUCGCCCUCUGAACGCCAGCACCUCUGUCUUCACUGCUCUUCUGGCGUCUGCAGGACUACGGGUGUGAUUCCGGGCACUGGGAUACCUAGAAACUGGCCCUUGUGGUCAGUGCCAGUUUCCAUGGUUCCCCCCUGUCAAAGGGACGUUCUUUCUGGGCCUGGUGUGUUUGUAAAGUCCCCGUGAAAAGAUGGCUCUGUGUCCUGAGGUCCCGAAUCCACCAGCAGCAGAAUUCCUCUGUGACUCCGGCCGAGUUGGGGUUGUGCAGCACAGCGGAUGGAAGGGAAAGUGGGGGGAGAAAAACAGGAGCAGCAUGUUUGGGUCCUGGCUCAGUGCCACGCAUCAGUUAGGCACUCCAGGGACUGGGUCACAGUAGGGGUUCACAGGAGGGAAGUAAACAGGCCACUGUAUACACAUUUACACCAGCAAACACACAGUUCAACAGUGAAGACAUCUGUGCAUGUUGUGGGUCCUGCCAUUCAGAGUUUCCAUUUCUAUUCUGUAAAGGAUUAAGCACCAAUUUUCACCUUGAGGUAAUUUUAUGAUGUACUUCCAAAAAUCUUUCAUUAUGAUGAUUCAUUCACAUUUUAGGACUCAAUUAUUCUACAGUAUAGUUUACAUACUUAGAUAUUUUCACAAUGUAGUUUAUUAAUGACUCAUCUUUUAGCUAUUGGCACACCCUGCAUUUUCUUGCUUGGUCACAUGUGAGUGAUUGUAUACACACACAGUAGGAAGUUUCUGUUUGAUGUGAAACACCCACACUGUGACCGACUGUAAGGAGAGGGCAAUAAGGGGUUUUGAAAUAUGAAUAUAUUGCUCAGGAAACUAUGCAAGCUGUUUUCUCUCUGACGUUUUUCUUAGGAAUCAGGACCAGAAAUUGUACAUCAGACAUCCCUUCUACUUGUCUCAAGUUUUGAACAGCAGCUGACUUGACCUCCUAGUGUUACAAAAGCACAAUUGUCCCAGGCUGAACACUGAACACUGAUGGUCAUGACAGUGAGUUUUCUGAAUAAUCUGAAUAGCAUCACUGAAGCUUCUACAGAUUUGACAUCUUGCUCCAGGACACGUAAGGAGGACAGUUGUUGGCUGUCACGGUGUCCUGAGGCUGCUGGGUUAUCCUGUUGAUGGACAUGACGUGUGACUGUGCUUCCCUGCAGCAUCCCAGGAGUCACUCCAGCUCUGAUUUGAUCUGAAAAGCUGAGCAAAAAAACAUGACGGAUGUGACAUUCUGUCACUGAUUUUCAGCAUUUUUACGCUCUCCUUUUUCCUGGGCCUGCAGGGAGUUGCUGACAGUCAUUUCACAAUCUACCUAUUCUUUUUGAAAUAUUCUUAAAAUAAAAUGAUGUUAACACUCUUAAUGUUUUUUCCACCAUCACAUCUUCCAAGGGCUCCUCUGUGCCUACACAGAAAAUAGGCUUGUGUACGUCAAUUGUUAUUAUCUUAAUACCACUAUGCAUACAAUAACUCCCUUAAGGAUAAUAUCAAUCUUAAACAGGCAGGGGAAAAUGCUGUGAAUUUUCACCACAGCGAUCAAAACGGGCUGACUCCGCUCAUACUGUCAGCUGAAUGCCUGACUUUGCACUCACUGAAUGGCUCCAUUUCCACUGUGGCUUCUGAAAAAGCACCUGGGACUCCCCACAUCGUGGCAGAUGGCGGCAACAACCACACACCCACUCAGGGUUGGAGGCUUCGCUCUUUGGGUCCAAACAUAACAAUAACCCUCGGAUUGGUCAGCGCUCCUGUGCCGCUCUGCUUUCAAUGAAUUUGCAAUGUUGAAUCCAAGGUUUUCCAUGGUCCAAGCCAAUAAAACCUCUGUCCAGAACAAGAAAAUUAUUUGUCAGUGCAACAUGGCCAUUGAUUUAAAUUGGAUAUCUUGUGGGGCCACCAGGGGCCUGUUUCAGGAAGCAGGUUUAGCUAACUCUGAGUUAAAACCUUAACUCUAGGUUGACCAACUCUGAGCUGUCAAACUCAGAGUUUUGGGUUUCAGAACAGCUGAUAACAGUUAGUUCAAUCAACUCUGAGUCAAAGUAACUCUUGAGUGAAGCUUGUGCAUGAGAUACUAAGCCCUCAUCAAUGGAGCACAGAUAACAUGAUUCACCAUGACAACAGGAGAAACGAAGCGCUCAGUCCUCC